Long non-coding RNA from Symphalangus syndactylus (siamang), 2558 nucleotides. RefSeq lists it as uncharacterized. The record is from RefSeq and is a predicted model, not a curated record. NCBI's taxonomy places the organism in Eukaryota, Metazoa, Chordata, Mammalia, Primates, Hylobatidae.
UCAAACCCACCGAGAUCUGGAGGGGAGAUAAAUUAGUGUGGGGAGGGAAUUUUAAGGAAGAAGUUGAGUGUCCUAAGAAUGUCCUUUCAUGGGAGGUGAGACCACACUGUGAGAGCCGAAGGGACCUGGAAUCCUCUCACAUCAAACCCAUCGCUGUGCCCAGGUUUGCAAAGUGGCUCAGCAGGUGCUGGGGCAGCAAUCGUAGCUGCCUGUCACCCCAUUCCCUUUUCCAUGGGAACCCCUGAUCUGAACCAAGAAAACUGCCGUUCUCGAGUACUGGGAGACAGGAGACAGAAGAGUGGGCAGAGAGGGCCAGGCCUCUUUUCCAUCCUCCCCUCUAAAAUUCUGCAGCGAUCUCUCAGUUAGCCUUAGUGAUCUAUUUCACUGAAUGAUUUAUUUCCUUGCAACGACCUGUAUGCCUUUGUGUUCUCCACCAGGAACCAAUUUGCUGAGAGGAUGAGACCGAGUGUCACAGGCUGAUCAAACAGAAGCUGUAAUGUCCUAGGAUUUCCUGAUACUACACUGUGGCUUGGCCCUCAGCAGUGUCUUCUCUGUAUCUGCCAGCUUUUAUGUCACUGGCCAGUCCCUUUGUGAGGUCAACUGUCUUUGACUCAAGAAAAAACAAGUACUAUUGGCACUGCCUCCCCCAGCAGACUGUACACAGUCAUGUGCUGCAGAAUGGUGUUUUGGACAAUGAUGAACCGGAUACACAACAGUGGUCUCCUAAGAUGAUCAUGGAGCUGAAAACUUCAUCAGAGCUGUCAUAACACCACAGUGCAAUUACUCUAUUUUUAAAAUAAAUGUACUGCAGCCUCAGUGUGCCAUGUUGAUAAAAGUCUGCAGUCAUGUACAGCAAUGUCCUAGGCCUUCACAUUCACUCAGCGCUUACUCACUGACUCACCCAGAGCAGCUUCCAGUCCUGCAAGCUGCAUUCAUGACACAGGAAGGUGACAGUACUGGGAGCCUCAUUGAAAACAGGUGUUAAGUACAUGCUUGACAGCAAGAAUAACAAAAGCAAAGAUGCAAGAGGAUAGGGAAUGGAUGCAUCGAUCAAGUCCUGGGUGAAACGCACAAGGAAGCCAUUCUGGCCGCUUGAAGCCACACUGGCUUGUUGGCCUGCUCAGCCCACCUCAGGCCCCUGGCACCAGUUCCUGCACUGACUUUCUUCACGGAUGCUGCCCUGCACAUUCUCCUGCUGCCACUCAGCCAUAUACCCACACUGCGCACACUAAGAAACCGAUUUUCCUGAGGCAAUGAAGACUGUAGAUAGAAGGGCCCGUUUUCUCUGUGCUGCUGCUCUUUAUCGUGCCUUUAGGAGCUACUCUCUUGUUUUCUUUUUGAUAUGUCACAGAAGAAACAUUUCUCCCCAGUCCCCAAGGUAAUUUUUCUCCUCCUUCCCUCCACUUUGCCACAAUGGAGUGCAGCACUCAAAAGCUACAAUGGGGUUGUCAAUGUCUCUCAUUUAUGGCCCGCCUCCUCCAGGGCCUGGAGAUGACUCUGGAUCUGUGAAGCCCUCACCUCAUGACCAUCCUGGGCUUCCCACUACACCCUGCCACCUCCUCAGCCCCACAGCAGGGUCUGAGACCCAGUUCCCAUUCGCCUUCACUCUGCUAUUUUCAAUUUCUCACUCUCCUUCAGGAACACAGAAACCCUCAACCCCCUCCCUGCCAAAAACAACCCCCAGGGCCAAAUGAAGCUCAUUACCUUGCUGUUCCUUUGACAGACAACUGAUAUUUUUCUACUCCUUAUGAAACUCUCAGGGUCCACAGGCAAACGUUCCUAUUACUGACUUCCUGUCUUCCAACAGUCGGCUUUCUACCCCACCGCGCUACCGAAGCUGCAUUUUAGAUCUUGACAAAGGACUCCCAGACUCAGAACUUAGCGGCUUUUCCUCAACCAAAUCCAAGUGCCUUGCGUGCUGCACUCCUCUGGGGACUACCCACUACUGGACAUCUCAUCCCUGGAUUCCAGAGCACCAGAAUGGCCUCCGAGUCUCCUGGGCCCCACUAACAGUGCUGAUGCUCCACUCUGACAGUCCACUCACACGGCUGCGCUCCCACCUAGACUCUGAGUUCCUCAGGAGCAGGGAUCAUGGCCCAGGCAUUUUUGUUGGCACAACCAAGUGACCAACAGACUCCAGGCCUCCUGAGGAUGUGUUUGUUGAGUAAAUUAACUAUUAACUGGGUAUUUCCUAGAAAUAAUCUGUAAUUGUUUCUCUGGAGUCCUUUUAUAAUGGCUUGCAGGGGUAGCUAUAGGACUCUCCUGGGAAAGAGAAGCAAUUGAAGGUGAUGGAAAAAAUAAGAAAAACACUUCGAAUUAUUCAUUCACUCCAGCAAACAGCGGUAUCAGGAGUGGGAGUGUCUUAAGAAAAGACAGACAGUUGCUGUUUUAGAGCAGAAAUUACCUACCUGUCACAUUUCCUCGCAAGAAUCCCACAACUGCAAUACUGCCAACGAAUUCCUCCUUGCUGGUUAGAAUUUUCCAAGCCCACUGCUUCAUAACUGUUUUUAUUCUUUUUUUUUUUUUUUUUUUUUUUUUUUUUUUUUUUUUUUUUUUUU